RNAcentral lists this ribosomal RNA (408 nucleotides) under Petrolisthes japonicus. RNAcentral's name for it is "partial 16S large subunit ribosomal RNA". It matches the Rfam family "Bacterial large subunit ribosomal RNA", at positions 1914 to 2597 of the family's 2925-position model. The record is from RNAcentral. Lineage: Eukaryota; Metazoa; Arthropoda; Malacostraca; Decapoda; Porcellanidae.
AAAAUUUAAAAGGCCGCGGUAUCUUGACCGUGCAAAGGUAGCAUAAUCACUAGUUUUUUAAUUGAAGGCUUGAAUGAACGAUUGGACAAGAAUUGAACUGUCUUUUCUUAUAAAAUUGAAUUUUAUUUUUAAGUGAAAAAGCUUAAAUGUAGGAGAAAGACGAUAAGACCCUAUAAAUCAUUUUACUGGGGCGGUAAAGAUAUAAAAAUAAACUGUUAUUAAUAUUAAACAAAGUUAUUUGAAAAGAUCCUUAGUAUGGAGUAAAAGUGAAAGUUACUUUAGGGAUAACAGCAUAAUUUCUUUUGAGAGUUCUAAUCGAGAAAGAAGCUUGUGACCUCGAUGUUGAAUUAAGAUAUUCUUUAUGGUGCAGCAGUUAUAAGAGAAAGUCUGUUCGACUUUUAAAUUCUU